Molecule: ribosomal RNA, 465 nt
Filed under: uncultured bacterium
Lineage: Bacteria
Description: bacterial SSU rRNA
Rfam family: Bacterial small subunit ribosomal RNA
Source: RNAcentral
CCUACGGGUCGCACCAGUGGGGAAUAUUGCACAAUGGGCGCAAGCCUGAUGCAGCCAUGCCGCGUGUAUGAAGAAGGCCUUAGGGUUGUAAAGUACUUUCAGUUGGGAGGAUGGCGCUGAUGCUAAUAUCAUCAACGAUUGACGUUACCAACAGAAGGAGCACCGGCUAACUCCGUGCCAGCAGCCGCGGUAAUACGGAGGGUGCAAGCGUUAAUCGGAAUUACUGGGCGUAAAGCGCACGCAGGCGGUUGAUUAAGUUAGAUGUGAAAUCCCCGGGCUUAACCUGGGAAUGGCAUCUAAGACUGGUCAGCUAGAGUCUUGUAGAGGGGGGUAGAAUUCCAUGUGUAGCGGUGAAAUGCGUAGAGAUGUGGAGGAAUACCGGUGGCGAAGGCGGCCCCCUGGACAAAGACUGACGCUCAGGUGCGAAAGCGUGGGGAGCAAACAGGAUUAGAUACCCUCGUAGUC